RNAcentral lists this ribosomal RNA (275 nucleotides) under uncultured Peredibacter sp. RNAcentral's name for it is "partial 16S ribosomal RNA". It matches the Rfam family "Bacterial small subunit ribosomal RNA", at positions 338 to 605 of the family's 1533-position model. The record is from RNAcentral. Lineage: Bacteria; Pseudomonadati; Bdellovibrionota; Bacteriovoracia; Bacteriovoracales; Bacteriovoracaceae.
CCUACGGGUGGCUGCAGUAGGGAAUAUUGCGCAAUGGGGGAAACCCUGACGCAGCAACGCCGCGUGAGUGAGGAAGGUCUUCGGAUUGUAAAACUCUGUUCUUAGGGAAAAAUGGUCACGUACCUAAUAGCGCGUGAUUUGAUGGUACCUAAGUAGAAAGCACCGGCUAACUUCGUGCCAGCAGCCGCGGUAAUACGAAGGGUGCAAGCGUUGUUCGGAAUCAUUGGGCGUAAAGCGCGCGCAGGCGGAUCAGCAAGUCAGAUGUGAAAUCUCGG